GUGCCAGCCGCCGCGGUAAUACGAAGGGGGCUAGCGUUGCUCGGAAUUACUGGGCGUAAAGGGAGCGUAGGCGGACAUUUAAGUCAGAGGUGAAAUCCCGGAGCUUAACUUCGGAACUGCCUUUGAUACUGGGUGUCUUGAGUGUGAGAGAGGUAUGUGGAACUCCGAGUGUAGAGGUGAAAUUCGUAGAUAUUCGGAAGAACACCAGUGGCGAAGGCGACAUACUGGCUCAUUACUGACGCUGAGGCUCGAAAGCGUGGGGAGCAAACAGGAUUAGA
This 278-nucleotide ribosomal RNA is filed under the name uncultured Caulobacterales bacterium. Its description in RNAcentral is "partial 16S ribosomal RNA". It matches the Rfam family "Bacterial small subunit ribosomal RNA", at positions 505 to 782 of the family's 1533-position model. The record is from RNAcentral. Lineage: Bacteria; Pseudomonadati; Pseudomonadota; Alphaproteobacteria; Caulobacterales.